This 574-nucleotide long non-coding RNA is filed under the name Salmo salar (Atlantic salmon). RNAcentral's name for it is "lncRNA (ENSSSAG00000115525.1)". Lineage: Eukaryota; Metazoa; Chordata; Actinopteri; Salmoniformes; Salmonidae. The record is from RNAcentral.
GUCAGAUUUGCCAAAUGGAGGACGAGGGAGAGCUUUGUUCCGCGUCUCUGUGUGUGGAGUAAAGGUGGUCUAGAGGUCCCCCCCCCCGGUUGCACGUGACAUACCGGUAGAAAUUAGGAAAACGGAUGUAUGUUGCCCUGCAUUAAAGUCCCCGGCUACUUGGAGCGUCGCUUCUGUAUUUUCCUGUUUGCUUACGGCCUUAUACAGACCGUUGAGUGUGAGGUCUUCUGGUGGUUUGUGGUGGUCAAUAAACAGCUAGGAAACAAUAUAGAUGAAAACUCUCUUGGUAGAUAGUCAAUAGGAGUCAAUAGGAGUCAAUAGGGGUCAAUAUGAGUCAAUAGGGGUCAAUAGAGGUCAAUUGGGGUCAACAUGAGUCAAUAGGAGUCAAUAGGGGUCAAUAUGAGUCAAUAGGGGUCAAUAGAGGUCAAUAGGGGUCAAUAGAGGUCAACAGGAGUCAAUAGAGGUCAAUAGAGGUCAAUAGAGGUCAAUAGGGGUCAACAGGAGUCAAUAGAGGUCAAUAGAGGUCAAUAGGGGUCAAUAGGGGUCAAUAGAGGUCAAUAGGGGUCAAUAGGGG